Molecule: ribosomal RNA, 497 nt
Filed under: uncultured bacterium
Lineage: Bacteria
Description: partial 16S ribosomal RNA
Rfam family: Bacterial small subunit ribosomal RNA
Source: RNAcentral
GAUGAACGCUGGCGGCGUGCCUAAUACAUGCAAGUCGAGCGAACAGACGAGGAGCUUGCUCCUCUGACGUUAGCGGCGGACGGGUGAGUAACACGUGGAUAACCUACCUAUAAGACUGGGAUAACUUCGGGAAACCGGAGCUAAUACCGGAUAAUAUAUUGAACCGCAUGGUUCAAUAGUGAAAGACGGUUUUGCUGUCACUUAUAGAUGGAUACGCGCCGCAUUAGCUAGUUGGUAAGGUAACGGCUUACCAAGGCAACGAUGCGUAGCCGACCGGAGAGAGUGGUCGGCGACACGGGAGCUUGGACACGGUCCAGACGCCUACGGGAGGCAGCAGUAUGGAAUCUGCCGCAAUAGUCGAAAGCCUGACGGAGCAACGCGGCGUGAGUGAUGAAGGUCUUCGGAUCGUAAAACUCUGUUAUUAGGUAAGAACAAAUGUGUAAGGAACUAUGCACGUCUUGACGGUACCGAAUCAGAAAGCCACGGCUAACUACGUG